CCUACGGGUGGCAGCAGUAGGGAAUCUUCCACAAUGGGCGCAAGCCUGAGGGAGCAACACCGCGUGAGUGAAGAAGGGUUUCGGCUCGUAAAGCUCUGUUGUUGGAGAAGAACGUGCGUGAGAGUAACUGUUCACGCAGUGACGGUAUCCAACAAGAAAGUCACGGCUAACUACGUGCCAGCAGCCGCGGUAAUACGUAGGUGGCAAGCGUUAUCCGGAUUUAUUGGGAGUAAAGCGAGCGCAGGCGGUUGCUUAGGUCUGAUGUGAAAGCCUUCGGCUUAACCGAAGAAGUGCAUCGGAAACCGGGCAACUUGAGUGCAGAAGAGGCCAGUGGAACUCCAUGUGUAGCGGUGGAAUGCGUAGAUAUAUGGAAGAACACCAGUGGCGAAGGCGGCUGUCUGGUCUGCAACUGACGCUGAGGCUCGAAAGCAUGGGUAGCGAACAGGAUUAGAUACCCCUGUAGUC
RNAcentral lists this ribosomal RNA (465 nucleotides) under uncultured bacterium. Its description in RNAcentral is "partial 16S ribosomal RNA". It matches the Rfam family "Bacterial small subunit ribosomal RNA", at positions 338 to 795 of the family's 1533-position model. The record is from RNAcentral.